GCUGGGCGUGGUGGCGGGCGCCUGUAGUCCCAGCUACUCAGGAGGCUGAGGCAGGAGAAUUGCUUGAACCCGGGAGGUGGAGGUUGCAGUGAGCCGAGAUCGCGCCACUGCACUCCAGCCUGGGCAACAGAGCAAGACUCCGCCUCAA
This 148-nucleotide non-coding RNA is filed under the name Homo sapiens (human). Lineage: Eukaryota; Metazoa; Chordata; Mammalia; Primates; Hominidae. The record is from Rfam by way of RNAcentral.